GAUCGCGGGAGAGCCCAAUCACAGGGCGAGCUGGACCUGGCUGUGAUCAUUUAUAAUCCUUGACUCCUCCGCUCCUCCACUUGUCAAGAUGACAGGGGUCAUCCAUGAAUAACACUUCAAGCUGAUGAAUGGCUCUUGCCGGCUUUCGGCUCUGAUGAGGGGUCUGCCGGCCGCUGAUUGCAAACACUAAUGAACUUACAGCUCCAUUUGAAAUUCACACGCACCAACAAAGUGAAGGGGUACGGUAGGCAUUUCGGGUCAGCUGAGUCACCCGAGGUGGUGGGAGAGCAAGACACUGCCUGGGAAGAUGGAUUCCUAGACAGAAGGGUGUAAUUAAGGAUUGCCACCCCCGGUAGGCGGCCCGCCCUUGACGGGGCCUCUGAAAAUGACCUGCGUCUUUCCUUCUGGAAGUGUCCUCUUGUCGGGGACGAAAAGCGCAAAUGACCUUCGGACUCCGGCAGGGGAGGGCUGCACUGAACACUUAGACUUCCUCCCAGGUCCCAGCUCUGUCCUGUUUAGAACAAGUGUCCGCCCCCAGAUUCAAGUAGCUGGACCUCCAACCAGUAGCCACUGUCAGGGGCACACUCAACAAACCUAAAGCCCACCACCACCAGCCCCAUCCCCGAUCUGUUUCUCCUUUCUUCCCUCAGAUUAUUAGCAGCACAACACCGCCCCUGCCACACUCCCUUGGCAGUGGGAGCCGAAACAACUUUACCUCCCUAAGGACACUGCCACUUUGUAAGUUUCUGCCAAAACUCUACUCCAGGAAGCUCCAGCCCCGGGCCCCGCCCCCGCCCCCACCCUCACCCCUAGCUGCGGAAAGCCCACCCCGGGAGCCAUUUUUCACUGCCCAAAAGCUCCUGCCCUUCGAGUUUUGGAACUCCAAACUUAGAACCUUUACAGAAUCGCGCUCUGGCUUCCUGCCUCCCGCCAGCUCCAGGCUUCUUUCUG
This 951-nucleotide long non-coding RNA is filed under the name Mus caroli (Ryukyu mouse). RNAcentral describes it as "lncRNA (MGP_CAROLIEiJ_G0013836.1)". Lineage: Eukaryota; Metazoa; Chordata; Mammalia; Rodentia; Muridae. The record is from RNAcentral.